Molecule: small nuclear RNA, 157 nt
Filed under: Castor canadensis (American beaver)
Lineage: Eukaryota; Metazoa; Chordata; Mammalia; Rodentia; Castoridae
Description: U2 spliceosomal RNA (ENSCCNG00000030600.1)
Rfam family: U2 spliceosomal RNA (bases 1-111)
About the family: U2 is a small nuclear RNA (snRNA) component of the spliceosome (involved in pre-mRNA splicing). Complementary binding between U2 snRNA (in an area lying towards the 5' end but 3' to hairpin I) and the branchpoint sequence (BPS) of the intron results the bulging out of an unpaired adenosine, on the BPS, which initiates a nucleophilic attack at the intronic 5' splice site, thus starting the first of two transesterification reactions that mediate splicing.
Source: RNAcentral
AUCACUUCUCAGCCUUUUGGCUAAGAUCAAGUGUAGUAUCUGUUCUUAACAGUUUAAUAUCUGAUAUGUCCUCUAUCUGAGGACAAUAUAUUAAAUGGAAUGGGUCCAAUUUUGAUGUUUCCUUUACCUAAAACUCUAAAACAAUUGAGGGCCUUUU